RNAcentral lists this transfer RNA (65 nucleotides) under Onchidella celtica (Celtic sea slug). RNAcentral's name for it is "tRNA-Lys". Lineage: Eukaryota; Metazoa; Mollusca; Gastropoda; Systellommatophora; Onchidiidae. The record is from RNAcentral.
UUUUAAGUGGCCGAGCACUGAGGCCGUAGAUUUUUAAUCUACUUACGGGCGGAGCCCCUUUUGCG